This 497-nucleotide ribosomal RNA is filed under the name uncultured bacterium. RNAcentral's name for it is "bacterial SSU rRNA". It matches the Rfam family "Bacterial small subunit ribosomal RNA", at positions 24 to 518 of the family's 1533-position model. The record is from RNAcentral.
UCAGGAUGAACGCUGGCGGCGUGCCUAAUACAUGCAAGUCGAGCGAGAAUCAGUGAUGUAGAGAUUCGUCGAAGCGGAUCUGAGGAAAGCGGCGGACGGGUGAGUAACGCGUAGGCAACCUGCCCUUAGCAGAGGGAUAGCCAUUGGAAACGAUGAUUAAAACCUCAUAAUGCUGUUGAAACACAUGUUUUGGCAGCCAAAGAUUUAUCGGCUAGGGGAUGGGCCUGCGUCUGAUUAACUAGUUGGUGAGGUAACGGCUCACCAAGGUGACGAUCAGUAGCCGACCUGAGAGGGUGAUCGGCCACAUUGGAACUGAGACACGGUCCAAACUUCUACGGAAGGCAGCAGUAAGGAAUCUUGCACAAUGGGGGAAACCCUGAUGCCAGCAACGCCGCGUGAACGAUGAAGGCCUUAGGGUUGUAAAGUUCUGAUCUGUGGGAAGAAGAAGUGACGGUACCACAGGAGAAAGCCCCGGCUAAAUACGUGCCAGCCGCUGC